This 414-nucleotide unclassified non-coding RNA is filed under the name Hevea brasiliensis (rubber tree). The record is from RNAcentral. Lineage: Eukaryota; Viridiplantae; Streptophyta; Magnoliopsida; Malpighiales; Euphorbiaceae.
AAAAUAAAAUAAAAUUAUUUACAUAUUUCUCUUUAUAUAUAUAAAAUAAGAUUUCUCUCCUAAUCUCGUUCUCUGUUGUUGGAUGUCUCCUCCCAUUCUCAAUCGUUUUGUAAUUUCUCUUCUUUCUCUCUCCCUCUUCCUUCUCUUUUUCUCUCCUCCUCUUGAUUCUACUCUUAUCAUUUCCUAAUGAUUCUUCCUUCUGUUACCAUAUUUCAAUAAUUUGAUUGGCUAUCAAAAUGCACCUAAAUUGCAAGCUUAUCGCAAACUAGUUAGGGUUUGUUGUGUGGAUAUUUUCUCUGUUAGACUUACAUAAAUAUACCUAAUUUGUGGUCAAAUGCACAUAAAUUAACAAUUAAAAUUUGAAAUCAAUAAACUCUAACCUCUAAAAUUCAAAAUCAACAAAUAAAAAUUCAA